AAAGACCCCGUGAACCUUUACUAUAGCUUGACACUGAACAUUGAGCCUUGAUGUGUAGGAUAGGUGGGAGGCUUUGAAGCGUGGACGCCAGUCUGCGUGGAGCCGACCUUGAAAUACCACCCUUUAAUGUUUGAUGUUCUAACGUGGACCCGUAAUCCGGGUUGCGGACAGUGUCUGGUGGGUAGUUUGACUGGGGCGGUCUCCUCCUAAAGAGUAACGGAGGAGCACGAAGGUUGGCUAAUCCUGGUCGGACAUCAGGAGGUUAGUGCAAUGGCAUAAGCCAGCUUGACUGCGAGCGUGACGGCGCGAGCAGGUGCGAAAGCAGGUCAUAGUGAUCCGGUGGUUCUGAAUGGAAGGGCCAUCGCUCAACGGAUAAAAGGUACUCCGGGGAUAACAGGCUGAUACCGCCCAAGAGUUCAUAUCGACGGCGGUGUUUGGCACCUCGAUGUCGGCUCAUCACAUCCUGGGGCUGAAGUAGGUCCCAAGGGUAUGGCUGUUCGCCAUUUAAAGUGGUACGCGAGCUGGGUUUAGAACGUCGUGAGACAGUUCGGUCCCUAUCUGCCGUGGGCGCUGGAGAACUGAGGGGGGCUGCUCCUAGUACGAGAGGACCGGAGUGGACGCAUCACUGGUGUUCGGGUUGUCAUGCCAAUGGCACUGCCCGGUAGCUAAAUGCGGAAGAGAUAAGUGCUGAAAGCAUCUAAGCACGAAACUUGCCCCGAGAUGAGUUCUCCCUGAGACUUUAGGUCUCCUGAAGGAACGUUGAAGACGACGACGUUGAUAGGCCGGGUGUGUAAGCGCAGCGAUGCGUUGAGCUAACCGGUACUAAUGAACCGUGAGGCUUAACCUU
This 847-nucleotide ribosomal RNA is filed under the name Salmonella enterica. RNAcentral's name for it is "partial 23S ribosomal RNA". It matches the Rfam family "Bacterial large subunit ribosomal RNA", at positions 2084 to 2925 of the family's 2925-position model. Lineage: Bacteria; Pseudomonadati; Pseudomonadota; Gammaproteobacteria; Enterobacterales; Enterobacteriaceae. The record is from RNAcentral.